GCAGUGGUGGUUCAAUGGUAGAAUUUUCACCUUCCAUGUGGGAGACCUGGGUUCGAUUCCCAGCAAGUGUA
This 71-nucleotide transfer RNA is filed under the name Loxodonta africana (African savanna elephant). It matches the Rfam family "tRNA". From Rfam's summary of the family: Transfer RNA (tRNA) molecules are approximately 80 nucleotides in length. Their secondary structure includes four short double-helical elements and three loops (D, anti-codon, and T loops). Lineage: Eukaryota; Metazoa; Chordata; Mammalia; Proboscidea; Elephantidae. The record is from Rfam by way of RNAcentral.